GUCCGCUCCCUGAAGCAAAGCCUCUCCUCCUGACUUUCCGGAAGCUUCUGUACUGGACAGAGGAGACAUCUGCAACAUGUUCAGCACCAAAAGGUCCGCUCCCUGAAGCAAAGCCUCUCCUCCUGACUUUCCGGAAGCUUCUGUACUGGACAGAGGAGACAUCUGCAACAUGUUCAGCACCAAAAGGUCAGGGUGACAUCACUGUUUUUGUGUUGUUUCUUGUGGACAUACGUGAACGCAAGAAGGAAAAUGUCACAAACCUCUCGGGCAGACCAUUUGGAAAGGCUAAUGCAGCAGAUUCCAAAGUGACAUUUGAGUCAUAGGCUUUAUUUUCAGAUAUGAUUCAGAUUUUGUGAGGAAAACGAAGACCGAGCUGAUUUCAGGUCAGAAAUGAG
Molecule: long non-coding RNA, 395 nt
Organism: Ictalurus punctatus (channel catfish)
Lineage: Eukaryota; Metazoa; Chordata; Actinopteri; Siluriformes; Ictaluridae
Source: Ensembl